ACUGCUCAGUAACACGUGGACAACCUGCCCUUAGGUUGGGUAUAAACCCGGGAAACUGGGUAUAAUACCCGAUAGGUCUCGAUUGCUGGAAUGCAUCGAGAUUUAAAGCUCCGGCGCCUAAGGAUGGGUCUGCGGCCUAUCAGGUAGUAGUGGGUGUAGCGUACCUACUAGCCUACGACGGGUACGGGUUGUGAGAGCAAGAGCCCGGAGAUGGAUUCUGAGACACGAAUCCAGGCCCUACGGGGUGCAGCAGGCGCGAAAACUUUACAAUGCUGGCAACAGCGAUAAGGGAACCUCGAGUGCCAGGUUACAAAUCUGGCUGUCGAGAUGCCUAAAAAGCAUUUCAUAGCAAGGGCCGGGCAAGACCGGUGCCAGCCGCCGCGGUAACACCGGCGGCUCGAGUGGUAACCGUUAUUAUUGGGUCUAAAGGGUCUGUAGCCGGCCGGAUAAGUCUCUUGAGAAAUCUGGCAGCUUAACUGUCAGGCUUUCAGGAGAUACUGUCUGGCUCGAGGCCGGGAGAGGUGAGAGGUGCUUCAGGGGUAGGGGUGAAAUCUUGUAAUCCUUGAAGGACCACCAGUGGCGAAGGCGUCUCACCAGAACGGACCUGACGGCAAGGGACGAAAGCUAGGGGCACGAACCGGAUUAGAUACCCGGGUAGUCCUAGCCGUAAACGAUACUCGCUAGGUGUCGGCCACGGUGCGACCGUUGUCGGUGCCGUAGGGAAGCCGUGAAGCGAGCCACCUGGGAAGUACGGCCGCAAGGCUGAAACUUAAAGGAAUUGGCGGGGGAGCAC
RNAcentral lists this ribosomal RNA (793 nucleotides) under uncultured archaeon. RNAcentral describes it as "bacterial SSU rRNA". It matches the Rfam family "Archaeal small subunit ribosomal RNA", at positions 85 to 879 of the family's 1478-position model. The record is from RNAcentral.